Long non-coding RNA from Leptopilina boulardi, 720 nucleotides. RefSeq lists it as uncharacterized. The transcript has 2 exons. The record is from RefSeq and is a predicted model, not a curated record. Lineage: Eukaryota; Metazoa; Arthropoda; Insecta; Hymenoptera; Figitidae.
UCUAUGAUUUUAAUAUUUAAAGUAUUGGUUUUAAUGGGAAAUUUUAUGAAUUCUAUAUUUCUGUAUUUCAUAAUCAUAAUCAUCAGCAUUUUAUAUGAUAAAAUCUUUUAACAUAUCAAAAUUCACAUGAUAAGAGGUAUUUUCCCUCUCAAUGUACAGACUUGAAGAUUAUGUUUAUCAUUUGAGUUAAAGGCGAUAUUUAACUAUAAAGACAGUCAUUCUAACGCAGCAAUCAUUAUAAAUACUUGAAUAUUUUGUCAAGUGACAGUUUUUCAUUACCAACGUCAAAAAUAUUCACUUCCAACACGAUUAUAGAUAACAACACAAAAUGAAUAUGAAAAAAUUUUUUACCUAUUCCCUGGUCUUAUGCGUGGUAUUGUCCCUCUUUUUGGAAACUGUCAAUGCUGAACAACCUUCUCCCAAUGGUGGCACUAUCGUUGUAAAUGGAACUGUAAAUGGAAAAGAUAUUGUAAAAGGAGUGAAAAAAGUUGUAAAGGAAGGAGGAAGAGUGAUCAAAAAAACUAAAAAGAAGAUUAAGAAAAUUUUUGGUUAAAAAAUAAUGUAUUUUUGAAUAUAAAUCACUACUUGUAGUCAAAAAUUGUUCUAAUUGUAAUCAUGAUUAAUUUGUUAUAAAUAUAUUUUUGUUACAAAAAAAAACUUGUACCAAGAAUUGUUACUGUAUAUUAUACCCUUUAAAUAAAUAUUUAAAAUUAACAAAAA